Molecule: long non-coding RNA, 555 nt
Organism: Podarcis raffonei (Aeolian wall lizard)
Lineage: Eukaryota; Metazoa; Chordata; Lepidosauria; Squamata; Lacertidae
Exons: 4
Source: RefSeq, a predicted model, not a curated record
GGCCGCUAAGCCUCAGAAGCUGCGGGCGCCGGCGGCGGAGAGAGGGAGUCCCGGUAGCUGUGCAGCCACCGCCUUCAUGAACAGAGGCAUCCGUGUCGGGGGAAGCUGAACGGUAGAGCGGCUUCUCCUUUUGUUAACGUGUUGGAAAGGUUUUCCAUCAGGAUUUCCACUUGCUCACAGUGAAGAGCCAACAAACAGAGAUGCCAUUUCUGUAAAACGAAAAGAUGGAACUUCACCUUGCUGCAGCAACAGGCUCCAUCCUCCCCAACUUCUUCAAUAUCAGUGUGGGCAGGAAGGAAGCUAACCAACGAGCCCUAAAUCCUAGAGCACAAAGAAGAGAGAUCUAAAACGUAUGGCUCGGUGCAGCAGCUGGUGUUGUGAAUCAGGCCGUUGCCAAAAAGAGAACGGCUACUUCACAACACCAGGGUUGCCCCUUGCCACAGUCAACUUUCUCAGCAAGAAAACUCCUUUCUCCAGGACAGGAAAGCUGGAUGGACCCAUUUUCAUUGUGUAUGCUUUAUAACAAGAAAAUAACAACUGGCUGCUGUUAAUUUA